UCAAAUUAGAGUUUGAUCUUGGCUCAGGAUGAACGCUGGCGACGUGGAUAAGGCAUGCAAGUCGUGUGGGUUUAGACCCACGGCGAACGAGGUAGUAAUACACAGGAACGUCCCCUAGAGUCGGGCAUAAUCAGCCGAAAGGUUGGCUAAUUCCCGAUAGACCCCGCGGAGCUCGCAAGAGCGAAGUGGGGUAAAGUCUCACGACGCUCUGGGAUCGGCCUGUGGGCUAUCAGCUAGUUGGUAAGGUAAUGGCUUACCAAGGCGAUGACGGCUAGGGGGGGUGAGAGCCUGUUCCCCACCGAUGGUACUGCGACACGGACCAUACACCUACGGGUGGCAGCAGCCGAGAAUCUUCCGCAAUGGGCGAAAGCCUGACGGAGCGACGUCGCGUGGUGGAUGAAGCCCUUCGGGGCGUAAACACCUUUUAUUGGGGAGAAAACCCUGCACUGUAUAGUGCGGGGUGUGAUAGUACCUGAUGAAUAAGGGGUUGCUAAACUCGUGCCAGCAGCAGCGGUAAGACGAGUACCCCAAGCGUUAUCCGGAAUUACUGGGCGUAAAGCGUGCGUAGGCGGUCUGGUUUGUCUGUUGUCAAAGCUCCCGGCUUAACCGGGAAUCCGCAACAGAAACGGCCAGACUCGAGGGGGCGAGAGGUCUAUG
RNAcentral lists this ribosomal RNA (657 nucleotides) under Gallionella sp. Its description in RNAcentral is "bacterial SSU rRNA". It matches the Rfam family "Bacterial small subunit ribosomal RNA", at positions 1 to 663 of the family's 1533-position model. The record is from RNAcentral. Lineage: Bacteria; Pseudomonadati; Pseudomonadota; Betaproteobacteria; Nitrosomonadales; Gallionellaceae.